RNAcentral lists this ribosomal RNA (355 nucleotides) under uncultured bacterium. RNAcentral's name for it is "bacterial SSU rRNA". It matches the Rfam family "Bacterial small subunit ribosomal RNA", at positions 32 to 371 of the family's 1533-position model. The record is from RNAcentral.
AAUCAACGCUGGCGGCGUGCCUAACACAUGCAAGUCGAACGCGAAAGCCCCGCAAGGGGCAAGUAGAGUGGCAAACGGGUGAGUAACACGUGGGUGACCUGCCUUCGAGCGGGGGAUAACGUCCCGAAAGGGACGCUAAUACCGCAUAACAUCCUGCCUUUGAAGAGGCGGAGAUCAAAGCUGGGGAUCGCAAGACCUGGCACUUGAAGAGGGGCCCNCGUCUGAUUAGCAGGUUGGUGGGGUAAUGGCCUACCAAGGCAACGAUCAGUAUCCGGCCUGAGAGGGCGGACGGACACACUGGGACUGAGACACGGCCAGACUCCUACGGGAGGCAGCAGUGGGGAAUUGUUCGCAA